Molecule: ribosomal RNA, 499 nt
Filed under: uncultured bacterium
Lineage: Bacteria
Description: partial 16S ribosomal RNA
Rfam family: Bacterial small subunit ribosomal RNA
Source: RNAcentral
GACGAACGCUGGCGGCGUGCCUAAUACAUGCAAGUCGAGCGGACCAACCAGGCGCUUGCUCUUGGUUGGUUAGCGGCGGACGGGUGAGUAACACGUGUGUACCCUGCCCGAAAGACCGGGAUAACUCCGGGAAACCGGAGCUAAUACCGGAUAACAUCGAAGACCGCAUGGUCUUUGGUUGAAAGUCGGCUGCGGCUGCUACUCACGGAUGGGCUCGCGGCGCAUGAGCUAGUUGGUGAGGUAACGGCUCACCCAGGCGACGAUGCGUAGCAGGCCGGCGGGGGUGGGCGGCCACACUGAGACUGAGACAGGCCACAGUCUGCUAGGGGUGGCAGCAGUAGUGCAUCGUCCGGAAGGGGCGAGAGUCUGAGGGAGCGGGGCCGCGUGAGCGAAGAAGGUCUUCGGGUCGGAGAGCACGGUUGUUGGGGAAGAAGAAGCGCCGUUCGGACAGGGAGGGGCGGUGACGGUAACUAGCAAGAAAGCCCCGGCUAACUACGUG